GGAGUUAAAGGGUUUAGUGUUCUAUUAUUGCGGCAGCAGAUAACAAAUCUUCUUAAUUAGUCGGGCGACCGUCUAUAGGUUUACCAUCGGGUUUCUCCACAAGGUCGGCAUUAGAUAACAUAGGGUGAAGUAGACCCGAAUGAUUAGCAUUUUCCGAUCAUCGUAGUGACGUCAUCUCCCGACCACACUGUAAACUUCGGAAAUUAACAUGGCAACACAAGGGUGAAACCUGUAUGUGUCGGGCUAUUGUAGGCUGUAAGCUCAGACCAGGCCAUGCAUCAUUUUGGUUUACGCUUGUAGACUAAUAAACAGUUCCGCAGUUCGUGGGAAAAGCAGAGGGAUGUUUCCGGAGCAACUAACGAGCCGACCUAUUCUCGAGCUACCUCGGCCGAUGUUAUUUGGAACAUAACGACAACGACGUAAACGCUCCCCCAGGUUGGACUACAUCCGGACGAGGGAGUCAGCGGUGUACUGAUGCUAUUCUUAUAGGGAGAACACGAAGUGGACCAAUGAAAUGAUUAUAUCAACAUUUUCAUAUUUCUAUUGAUUAUUUUGAUACAUUUCAGAGCUGUCUAAUAUUGAAAUAAAUUCCUUUCUUGACACUUGUU
This is a long non-coding RNA of Stylophora pistillata, 608 nucleotides long. RefSeq lists it as uncharacterized. Lineage: Eukaryota; Metazoa; Cnidaria; Anthozoa; Scleractinia; Pocilloporidae. The record is from RefSeq and is a predicted model, not a curated record.